Molecule: unclassified non-coding RNA, 240 nt
Filed under: soil metagenome
Description: partial contains 5.8S ribosomal RNA, internal transcribed spacer 2, and large subunit ribosomal RNA
Source: RNAcentral
AACAUCGCGCACCUGCGGGAACCUGCGGAGGGAUCAUUAUUAUUUGGGUUGGGUUUACUUUUUCGCUUCUCUUUUUUUAUGAAAAAAAAAGUAAACUUAUGCCAAAUAAUUAAGCGAAAAAAUUUUUUUUUGAAACUUAAUUAUUCUACUCCCUACUUAGUAGGGAGGAGCAAGAUGAACUUUUAUUUAAAACCAUUCACUCUUUACAAAAUAAAUUUAAUACAUAUAAUUAUAAAUGAU